This 391-nucleotide unclassified non-coding RNA is filed under the name soil metagenome. RNAcentral's name for it is "partial contains 5.8S ribosomal RNA, internal transcribed spacer 2, and large subunit ribosomal RNA". The stretch from base 1 to 122 matches the Rfam family "5.8S ribosomal RNA", at positions 35 to 154 of the family's 154-position model. The record is from RNAcentral.
GAUGAAGAACGUAGCGAAAUGCGAUACUUGGUGUGAAUUGCAGAAUCCCGUGAACCAUCGAGUCUUUGAACGCAAGUUGCGCCCGAAGCCAUUAGGCCGAGGGCACGCCUGCCUGGGCGUCACACGUCGUUGCCCCCCCAUCUACUCCUUCGGGAUUGCGGGGGGCGGAUGAUGGCCUCCCGUGCGCCUCGUCGCGCGGUUGGCAUAAAUAACAAGUCCUCGGCGGCCAACGCCGCGACAAUCGGUGGUUGUCAAACCUCGGUGUCCUGUCGCGCGCGCGUCGUCCGGGGCUUUUUCCAAUCUAAUGCGCGUCGAUUCGUCGGCGCUUUCAACGCGACCCCAGGUCAGGCGGGGUUACCCGCUGAAUUUAAGCAUAUCAAUAAGCGGAGGA